This is a non-coding RNA of Podarcis lilfordi (Lilford's wall lizard), 520 nucleotides long. Lineage: Eukaryota; Metazoa; Chordata; Lepidosauria; Squamata; Lacertidae. The record is from the annotation of a GenBank genome assembly.
CUUUCUUCAGAGUUGUCCCUUCUGCUGAAUGGAAUACAAUAUCAUUCCUCACAGGUGAAAGAGCUGUGUAUAUGACAGAGGAAUGCUCUCACCCCUCCAUGAAGCACACCUCUGUUUUCUACACAACAAUUUCACCUGCAUCUCACCUCAGCCAACUCCUCACAGGGUAUGGAUCCAAUUAUUUCCUCUUUCUUAUUAUAGGGCAGCAUAGCAGCUUGUUUCCUAGGAAGCAGAACUCAGUAAAAUGAUGCAAAAGCAAACUGUCCUUAGAAUAUAGAUAAAAGGUAUUAUUCUCAAAGGGAGUGUAGAUAACAAGUGCUGUUCUCUGACUGUGGAACUACCUUGUGUUUGUAGGAAAAGAACAAACCUGCCAGCAUUGUAGUUGUGAUCUGUCUGUCUGCGAUGGGGGCAAGGAUCCUGUAGCUCUCCACAGGUUGAAUGAUCCUGGGCCACUAGUCAUACUUGUUGGGGUGAUGGAAUCCAGCAACAUCUGGAGGACCUCAGGUACCUCAUUCCUGGC